CCAAUAGCGUAUAUUAAAGUUGUUGCAGUUAAAAAGCUCGUAGUUGAAUUUCGGGGUCAGUAGAUUGGUCGUGCCACCGGUAUGUACUGGUCUUACUGGCUCCUCCUUCCUGAUGAACCGUAAUGCCAUUAAUUUGGUGUUGCGGGGAAACUGGACUGUUACUUUGAAAAAAUUAGAGUGUUUAAAGCAGGCUAACGCUUGAAUACAUUAGCAUGGAAUAAUGAAAUAGGACGUUCGAUCUUAUUUUGUUGGUUUCUAGGAUUGACGUAAUGAUUAAUAGGGAUAGUUGGGGGCAUUAGUAUUCAAUUGUCAGAGGUGAAAUUCUUGGAUUUAUUGAAGACUAACUACUGCGAAAGCAUUUGCCAAGGAUGUUUUCAUUAAUCAAGAACGAAAGUUAGGGGAUCGAAGACGAUCAGAUACCGUCGUAGUCUUAACCAUAAACUAUGCCGACUAGGGAUCGGAUGAUGUUAAUUUUUUAAUGACUCAUUCGGCGCCUUACG
RNAcentral lists this ribosomal RNA (500 nucleotides) under uncultured Glomeromycotina. RNAcentral's name for it is "partial small subunit ribosomal RNA". It matches the Rfam family "Eukaryotic small subunit ribosomal RNA", at positions 591 to 1092 of the family's 1831-position model. The record is from RNAcentral. Lineage: Eukaryota; Fungi; Glomeromycota.